UGAAAAUGUUUAUAUAAAGGCAAUAAGGUGGUUGUUGUUUUUCAGUUUGGGUUUGCAACAACAGUUUCUCAACAUCUCACCAAAGGAAGUGUUUUAAUGCUACUGGCUGAGUCUGAUGACCACAGAACUGCGAAAACAGACUGGUUGACUCACAGCAGCUCUAUCCGGUUUAACUGGAAUAUACUGUUCACAUCUUCAUAAUGAAGCAGAUUUUGGGGGGUCCUCCUCAUAUUUGAAAGUCUAUGAGGCAAAUGAAUAAGAGAGAAUUCACAUUUUUACAGACUUUUUAAGACAUCGUUGAAGAUGGAGACUACUGAGAUGGCUGCCAGAAAAUCUUUCAUUGUGAUGAUUAACAUGAUUGCAUGGAUGAUUUUAAUAACAGCUACUGGAUUAGGAGUGAUCCAUUUUCAUGAGUGCCCUGUCCAGCCAAACCUCCCCAUCUAUGUGACUGUGAUUGGAGUGACCGGUCUGCUUUCACUGUUGGUCAUGUACCUGAGGAACACUUUGGACGACGGUCUGCUGGUUCGCUUCUGCAGUGCCUUCAGCUUUACGCUCUACCUAUUCAUUGUGUGCUGGUUCAUUGCUGGUACCUACUGGAUUUACUCCAUAUAUCCUCCCAACUAUGUUCCCACCAGUACUGGAGACCACUGUCACAAAGCCCUGUAUCUGUUUGCAUUUUGGAUUAACAAUCUAAGCUUUCUUUGUGUGUUCAUACUGUCUCUUUUUGCUUUGUAUACCACUUUGAACGGUAGAAGUAUAUUGUUCACCAACAGAAACCAAUAUGUUAAAAUUUAG
Long non-coding RNA from Cyprinus carpio (common carp), 795 nucleotides. Lineage: Eukaryota; Metazoa; Chordata; Actinopteri; Cypriniformes; Cyprinidae. The record is from Ensembl.